CGGAAUAGCCGGCACCCGCUUUUUCUGCCUCUCUCUCUCUCGCUUGUGACCUUCCGGCGCCAUUUACCGGACAGGUGGCUGUGGAGGACCUUCCCCGCCCACGCUGCACUCCGUCACUCAGAGCGCGCGCCGCGACCCAGGAACUAAUCGGCAGCUGCCUUAGGCGACCAUGUCGGAGUCUGGGCACAGUCAGCCUGGGCUCUACGGGAUAGAGCGGCGGCGGAGGUGGAAAGAGCCAGGCUCCAGUGGCCCCCAGAAUCUUUCUGGGCCUGGCGGUCGGGAAAGAGACUACAUUGCCCCCUGGGAAAGAGAGAGACGGGAUGGCAGCGAAGACCCCAGCACCAACGUCAUGCAGAAAACCCCCAUCAUCCUCUCAAAGCCUCCAGCUGAGCGGUCAAAGCAGCCACC
Molecule: long non-coding RNA, 408 nt
Filed under: Rattus norvegicus (Norway rat)
Lineage: Eukaryota; Metazoa; Chordata; Mammalia; Rodentia; Muridae
Description: long non-coding RNA NONRATT000458
Source: RNAcentral